UAUGGUUAAAGUUUGCAAGUUUUCCAAAAGCUGCAACUCGUUCAAAACACAGGGAUCUUCAGGGAAACCGGAAACAAAUAAUCUCAACACUUUCAAACUUGUUAAACCUGAUAUGCCACAGAUACUCUCUACCAUCCUUGUGUACUCCAAAUUCAGAUCCCUGUUCAUUGAUAGAUCAAGAACAACUAGCAUUGGCAUCAACCGAAAGAAGCUGCUUGAGAUAUGCCCCAAGAAGUUCUUUCGGAGGAGCAAAGUUAUAAGUUGGGGAGAUUCAGGAGCAUCACGUAUACUUUCAAUGUUGUUAAACAUCAAUGACACCCUUCUCGCAACUUUCCACUUCUCGAUCUCAG
Long non-coding RNA from Arabidopsis thaliana (thale cress), 350 nucleotides. RefSeq annotates it as other RNA. Lineage: Eukaryota; Viridiplantae; Streptophyta; Magnoliopsida; Brassicales; Brassicaceae. The transcript is spliced from 2 exons. The record is from RefSeq.